GCCAGGUGUGGUGGUGUGUACCUGUAGUCCCAGCUAUUUCAGAGGCUGAGAUGGGAGGAUCGCUUGAACCCAGGAGUUUGAGGCUGCGGUGAGCUGUGACUGCACCGCUGCACUCCAGCCUGGGUGACAGAGUGAGAUCCCAUCUCUA
Molecule: unclassified non-coding RNA, 148 nt
Organism: Macaca fascicularis (crab-eating macaque)
Lineage: Eukaryota; Metazoa; Chordata; Mammalia; Primates; Cercopithecidae
Rfam family: Metazoan signal recognition particle RNA
About the family: The signal recognition particle (SRP) is a universally conserved ribonucleoprotein. It is involved in the co-translational targeting of proteins to membranes.
Source: Ensembl